This is a long non-coding RNA of Cercocebus atys (sooty mangabey), 915 nucleotides long. RefSeq lists it as uncharacterized. The transcript has 3 exons. The record is from RefSeq and is a predicted model, not a curated record. Lineage: Eukaryota; Metazoa; Chordata; Mammalia; Primates; Cercopithecidae.
GUCUCCAGGCGCCGCUGUCCCCACCAGCCACACUGGGCCUCCGGACAGAGCCUCCCUUUCCAACCCUGGAGGAAGAAGUUCUGAGGAGGCCACGGCAAGUUGGACUCGCCCCGUCCCCGUCCUCACCGCCCUGCCCGGAGGUGACUGGGACUGUUCCUGACCCGAGAGUUCCGCCCAGCGAGAUGCGUGUGAGGAGGGGGUGUGGACGCUGCAGACACAGCCCGAUCGCGGCACUGCAGGGUUCUGGGACCCUGCCUCCACCAGGAAGCCUCCCUAGAUUGCCCAGCCCUGCUUCGGUGCCGUCCAGCACAGUGGAGACCCCAGGAAUGCUGGAGGCGGGGGCUCGGGAACUUGAGCGCGGCUGUGCCCACGGCUGGAUGUGGUUAGACACCUCUUUGAGACCUGCAGCCACCACCUCACCCCAUAAGGCGGUUCCUCCUUUCCCAGGGUAAAUGACGGGAAUUAGCUGUUUGUGACACCCCGGAGUUCUCAGAUCCAAGAUGGAGGAGCCCGCCUUGGACAGGCCGUCUUCAGACGCUGCAGAAAAGGAAGGGGUCUCUGCGGCUCCAGGCUGCCCGGACACUCAGACGGAGGGGGUGGGGCCAGCUGGGCCUGGGGGCCUUUGAGGGGCCUGGAGAUCUUCAUUCCGCCCCUAGGCUAGGAGGGGCUCUGGGCCCCUGGAUAGAAAGAGGUGCCGUCAGACCCGGACGGCAGGCGAAGGUGCUCAGGGAGGAGACCCCGGGCAGGCUGGGCUGCGCCCCUGCCCGUUUCAAAACCCCGAGAGGUCUGCACCAGCUUGGGCUCACCCCCAAUCCUGGCGAGUGCCGGUAGAUGGCAGCCCGAGAAGACACAAUGCGUCCCCUGUAAAUAACGCUCAUCAGUCCCAAAAAAUUAAAUAAAUGUCCAUCAACCACA